Molecule: ribosomal RNA, 259 nt
Filed under: uncultured bacterium
Lineage: Bacteria
Description: partial 16S ribosomal RNA
Rfam family: Bacterial small subunit ribosomal RNA
Source: RNAcentral
CGCACGGGUGAGUAACACGUAUGGAACCUGCCCUAUGCAGGGGGAUAAGCGGAGGAAAUUCCGUCUAAUACCGCAUAACACCUUUAGGAGACAUCUUCUUGGGGUCAAAGGAGGCGACUCCGGCAUAGGAUGGCCAUGCGUCGCAUUAGCUAGUCGGCGGGGUAACGGCCCACCGAGGCGACGAUGCGUAGGGGUUCUGAGAGGAAGGUCCCCCACACUGGUACUGAGACACGGACCAGACUCCUACGGAAGGCAGCAG